This 376-nucleotide ribosomal RNA is filed under the name uncultured organism. RNAcentral describes it as "partial 16S ribosomal RNA". It matches the Rfam family "Bacterial small subunit ribosomal RNA", at positions 527 to 897 of the family's 1533-position model. The record is from RNAcentral.
GUAGGUGGCAAGCGUUGUCCGGGAAUUAUUGGGGCGUAAAGCGCGCGCAGGCGGUUCUUUAAGUCUGAUGUGAAAGCCCACGGGCUCAACCGUGGAGGGUCAUUGGAAACUGGAGAACUUGAGUACAGAAGAGGAAAGCGGAAUUCCACGUGUAGCGGUGAAAUGCGUAGAGAUGUGGAGGAACACCAGUGGCGAAGGCGGCUUUCUGGUCUGUAACUGACGCUGAGGCGCGAAAGCGUGGGGAGCAAACAGGAUUAGAUACCCUGGUAGUCCACGCCGUAAACGAUGAGUGCUAAGUGUUAGGGGGUUUCCGCCCCUUAGUGCUGCAGCUAACGCAUUAAGCACUCCGCCUGGGGAGUACGGCCGCAAAGGCUGA